GCUUGUCUCAAAGAUUAAGCCAUGCAUGUCUAAGUAUAAACAACUUUGUACUGUGAAACUGCGAAUGGCUCAUUAUAUCAGUUAUAGUCUACUCGAUAGUACCUUACUACUUGGAUAACCGUAGUAAUUCUAGAGCUAAUACAUGCGUAAAUACCCAACUGCUUGUCGGACGGGUAGCAUUUAUUAGAUUGAAACCAAUGCAGCUUCGGCUGGUAUUGUGUUGAGUCAUAAUAACUGUGCGGAUCGCAUAGGCUUGCCUGGCGAUGGAUCUUUCAAGUUUCUGACCUAUCAGCUAUCGACGGUAGGGUAUUGGCCUACCGUGGCUAUGACGGGUAACGGAGAAUCAGGGUUCGAUUCCGGAGAGGGAGCCUGAGAAACGGCUACCACAUCUAAGGAAGGCAGCAGG
This 406-nucleotide ribosomal RNA is filed under the name uncultured Saprolegniales. RNAcentral's name for it is "partial small subunit ribosomal RNA". It matches the Rfam family "Eukaryotic small subunit ribosomal RNA", at positions 30 to 432 of the family's 1831-position model. Lineage: Eukaryota; Oomycota; Saprolegniomycetes; Saprolegniales. The record is from RNAcentral.